Molecule: ribosomal RNA, 449 nt
Filed under: uncultured bacterium
Lineage: Bacteria
Description: partial 16S ribosomal RNA
Rfam family: Bacterial small subunit ribosomal RNA
Source: RNAcentral
AGCGAACGCUGGCGGCAGGCCUAACACAUGCAAGUCGAACGAACUCUUCGGAGUUAGCGGCGGACGGGUGAGUAACACGUGGGAACGUGCCUUUAGGUUCGGAAUAACUCAGGGAAACUUGUGCUAAUACCGAAUGUGCCCUUUGGGGGAAAGAGUUAUCGCCUUUAGAGCGUCCCGCGUCUGAUUAGCUAGUUUGUGAGGUAAAUGCUAACCAAGGCGACGAUCAGUAGCUGGUCUGAGAGGAUGAUCAGCCACACUGGGACUGAGACACGGCCCAAACUCCUACUGGAGGCAGCAGUGGGGAAUAUUGCGCAUUGGGCGAAAGCCUGACGAAGCCAUGCCGCGUGAAUGAUGAAGGUCUUAGGAUUGUAAAAUUCUUUCACCGGGGACGAUAAUGACGGUACCCGGAGAAGAAGCCCCGUCUAACUUCGUGCCAGCCGCCGCGGUAA